Molecule: ribosomal RNA, 253 nt
Filed under: uncultured bacterium
Lineage: Bacteria
Description: partial 16S ribosomal RNA
Rfam family: Bacterial small subunit ribosomal RNA
Source: RNAcentral
UACGUAGGGGGCAAGCGUUGUCCGGAUUUAUUGGGCGUAAAGAGCGUGUAGGCGGCCUGACAAGUCUGCUGUGAAAACUCGAGGCUCAACCUCGAGAUGUCGGCGGAAACUGUCUGGCUAGAGUCCGGAAGAGGAGAGUGGAAUUCCUGGUGUAGCGGUGAAAUGCGCAGAUAUCAGGAAGAACACCUAUGGCGAAGGCAGCUCUCUGGGACGGUACUGACGCUGAGACGCGAAAGCCAGGGGAGCGAACGGG